This 245-nucleotide ribosomal RNA is filed under the name uncultured Lachnospiraceae bacterium. Its description in RNAcentral is "partial 16S ribosomal RNA". It matches the Rfam family "Bacterial small subunit ribosomal RNA", at positions 524 to 768 of the family's 1533-position model. The record is from RNAcentral. Lineage: Bacteria; Bacillati; Bacillota; Clostridia; Lachnospirales; Lachnospiraceae.
UACGUAGGGGGCAAGCGUUAUCCGGAUUUACUGGGUGUAAAGGGGGCGCAGGCGGUUUGGCAAGUCUGAAGUGAAAGCCCGUGGCUCAACUGCGGGACUGCUUUGGAAACUGUCAAACUAGAGUAUCGGAGAGGCAAGUGGAAUUCCUGGUGUAGCGGUGAAAUGCGUAGAUAUCAGGAGGAACACCGGUGGCGAAGGCGGCUUGCUGGACGAUAACUGACGCUGAGGCCCGAAAGCGUGGGGAG